RNAcentral lists this long non-coding RNA (1050 nucleotides) under Cairina moschata (Muscovy duck). RNAcentral describes it as "domestica (muscovy Duck (domestic type)) lncRNA (ENSCMMG00000003357.1)". Lineage: Eukaryota; Metazoa; Chordata; Aves; Anseriformes; Anatidae. The record is from RNAcentral.
AUGAAACCCACCCAAACCCCUCGCACCGCUCCCUGCCCAGCUGCACCUUCAGCACCGGUGCGAGCAGCCCAGCCUGUGCCGCCACCGGGAGCCCUCAUUUCAGGGGUGAUUCUGCAUUACCUGCUCCUCCGGGGGAGAGGGCGAUUUCAGUUUUUCCUACCCAAACGCUCGCUGAGAGGUGCACGGGAUUUACAGCACGGGAUGCGGUGCGGGCGGCAGUUCUUUUUUAGCUGCUUCACCCUCGCUCCUGCUGCAUCCGAAAGCAUAAAACAUCCCCUGCUCCCCACGCCUCCAGCACCUUUCUGCACCGCGUGUUUACGCCUGCUUUUAUCAACAUCCCCCCCGGUUCUCUCCCCGAGGACCACACACACCGAGACGCAUAACCGGGCGGAAAGAAGUUGGGUUUGGGUCGCUGCCGGUCUUUUUCUUUUUUUUUCUUUUUUUUUUUUUUUUUUGGGGGGGGGGGGAGGCAAAUUGGCGCUGCCCGCUCCCCGCGGGGAGCAGCCCCCCCGGGGCAGCCCCCUGCCCGCUCGCUACUCACCGGCCGCUCACAAACUUCCCCCGCCUCGCCCCGCUGCCGCUGCCGCCUCGGCCGCCGCCCGCCCCGCCUCGGGCGCCAUCGGCCCCACCGGGGCACGGCGGCGCCGGCGGGCACGGCGCUGCCUCGGCCGGGCCGGUGCCGACUCGCGGGCAGGGAGCGGAGCCGCCGCGCCGAGCGCCGCCGCCCUCCUCCUUCCCCCCUCCACCUCCCCGGAGGGCGGGCGGGCAGAGCGGGGCCGCCCCUCACCGCCGCCGGGCCAGGACUCACUUUGCUGCACCCCCCCCCUCCGCCUGCCCUCAGCGGCUUCUUCCUCCUCCUCCUCCUCCUCCUCCUCCUCCUCCUCCUCCUCCUCCUCCCCCUCCUCCCCCUGCCAUGGCCGCGGCAGCCCGCCGUCAGCCGCGGGGGGGACGGGCGAGGGAGCGGGGCCGGCGGCGGGCGGGGGGGGGCAUGGCCGCGGGGAGGGGCCGGCGGCGGGGCCCCGGCAGCGGCGAUGGCCGCCGGGGCGGUGA